AGCCAAAUACUUUCUUUGCAUGCUUGUGUAGCUGACAUAUAUUCUACUUUUGUUGUAGAUAAGGCCACUAUAGAUUGCAAUUUUGAUUUGAUUCCCAGCUCACUACACUAUUAGCUAAAGAAAACACAUAACCAAUAGUUGAUUUUUUAUUAUCGCGAUCUCCUACAUAGUUUGCAUCCAUAUAACCAACUAGUUUUAAGAUUUGACCACUAUAACAAAUGGAGAUUUCAGAAGUACCAUUCAAAUAACGAAAGAUUCUCUUCACCGUAGUCAAAUGAUCUCUUCCUAGAUUUACCAUAAACUUACUAACUGCUCCCACUGCUUGUGCAGUGUCUGGUCUAGUGCACACCAUGGCAAACAUAAGGCUCCCUACUACUGAUGAAUAUGGUAGGUGUGAGACAUCUUUAUCUUCUCAGCUUCAGUGCUAGGUGAAUGUUCCGAAGACAACUUGCAAGACAUCUCUAUCUUCUCAGCUUCAAUGCUAGGUGAUUGUUCCAAAGACAACUUGCAACCAACAGAAAAUGAGAUAUUGACUGGUUUGGAAUCUUGCAUGUUGAAGCGUUGUAAGACCUUUUGAACACAACUCUUUUGAGUUAUCUAGACUUUAUUGUUCUUUCUGUCCCUAUAUACCGUCAUCCCAAGAAUCUGAUUAACCACCCCCAGAUCCUUCAUUACCAAAGUAUGUGUGGGCACAAUGAUUUGCUUCACAUUUGCUAAAGCCCAAACUCAUAAUGAAGGAUUCAAACCACUUAUACCAAUACUUUGGUGCCUGUUUUAGACCGUAAAGUGAUUUGGUCAGCUGACAAACCAGAUCCUUUUUGUCGUCAUCGACAAAGCCUUCAGGUUGAGUCAUAUAAAUCUCUUCUUCAAGAUUACUAUGCAAAAAUGCAGUUUUAACAUCUAACUACUCCAGCUCCAAGUCAAGUAUUGCAACCAUACUCAACAAAAUACGAAUAGUACUUAAUCAAACAACAGGAGAAAAUAUUCCGUUGAAGUCGAUACCUGAUUUCUGAGCAUAUCCUUUUACAACUAGUUGAAUUUUGUAUCUUUCGAUAUUCCCGCUAGUGUCCUUCUUGAGUUUGUACACCCAUCUACAACCAAUGGCCUUUCGAUUCUUAGGUAGUUUGACUAACUCCCAAGUUUUGUUUUUCUUCAGAACUUCCAUUUCUUCCUCUAUAGCCAUUUGCCAAUGACGAGCAUUUGGACAUUUGCAUGCUUCGUGGCAUGAAUAAGGCUCGUGCUUUUCUAUAAUGCAAGCAUAAGUUGUUACAUAAUCCUGAAGUUAGACAUGAGGCUUUGUAUUUCUCCUCAAUUGGCCUUGAUCACCGUGAGUUUCUCCUUCAAAAUCUUUAACGUGCUCUUCAGGUACAUCAACAGUUGUAUCAAUUUGUUGCUCUUGAAUCUUUUAAAAAGAUUCCACUUCAACUUUUUCUACUGUCUUAAAGCUUGAUUCUAUAUUGAAUCUUCAUUGAAGACAACAUCUCAACUAACAACAAUCUUGUGGGCAGUAGGAUCCUACAAUCUAUAUCCCUUUGUACCUUCUACAUAGCCAAGAAAAAUACACUUUUUGGACAUUGCCUCUAGUUUAGUCUUCUGCUUCUUAGGAGUCCAAACAUAAGUAUCACUACUAAAGGUAUGUAGAAAAGAAUAAUCAACAAGGUUUCCUAACCAUACCUCUUCUGGAAUUUUGCAAUCAAAUGUCAUAGUGGAAGAGCGAUUUACUAGGUAGCAUGUCGUAUUGACUGCUUUUGCCCAAAAACACUGCUCCAGCCCAGCUGCACUCAACAUGCUUCUAGCUCGAUCCAUAAGUGUACAGUUUAUCUAUUCAGCAAGAGUGUAACCCAUUCCGAACAUAUAAUCUAAAACCAGUCCAACCUACUACUUGAAGAGAGGCAUUGGACCGUUCUCUGAAAUGUCUCUCUAUGUGGUCUCUGCUUACUCCCGACAUAUUGAUCAACCACUCCAUUCUCUCCUUUGCACUUCCUGCUUUAUAGAAUCCAAUAAUUAUAUGAUGACAAGUACAUACCAGUGGCUCCAAACUCCUAUUUCGCAUGUUGCUCCACAACUCGAUUGCUUCUUGUACAUUUCCCAUGUCAUAAAGUGCUAGGAUAAGCGGAGUAUAAGACGAGGUGGUCGGAUGCAUUCCCGUCCCCAGGAUUUCAUAGAAAAGGUCCAUAGCCUCAACUACCUUCUUUUCUUUGCAAAGGCUCUCAAUGAGAAUGUUGUAUGUUGUAUGUCACCACAUCGCGUUCAAUUCCCUUCUUGGGCAUUUCUUCGAAUAGUUUAUGCGUUUCAUCCAUUCUCCCAUGUAAACAGAACCCAGCAAUCAUGGUGUUAUAACUCACCGUGCUUUCUCCAUACAUCUCACUACGCAGCUUCUAGGCCAUUUCUAAGUCACCCAUCUUACAAUAACCAUCAAUAAGUAUAUGGAUUUGGAAUGAACCCCUUCCUAAUCAUCUCGAACCAAAGCUUCCUCGCUUCACCAGUCAAGCCCAUCUUACAGAGGCCAUCUAUCAUCGUCGUGUACAUAACCCUACCGGGAGCAUACCUUCCCUCAUUCGAACUUCCCUCCCAAAAAUCCCACCUUCUCUCAGAAUACUGUGGCUAGACCACCGGCCACCACAACAGCUGUGACUAGACCAUCGAUCACGUCUUCUCUUAAAGGGCGGUUCACUUAGUUGGACCGGAACUUAAAUACAAUCCAAAAACCCAAAAACCACCACUCCUUGGUUUGUUAUUCGAAUUUUCGACUCCCAAAGUGAAGCUUUCUCUCAUUUGAACUUUCCUUCCCCUGUCUCCCUCUUUCAUCCAAACCCUAACCCCUCAACCGACGAGUUACCAGACCACCGGCAGCAGGUGGUGCAUUCAACCGGCGGCAAUAGUAAACCCACGACCAGCAGUAAAGGUAAUGGCCAGUAGUCAAGGGAAAAGUGGGGGAAGCUCCCGUGCUAUGUGGACUCCCGACUUGCACAAAAUUUGGGUAGAUCUGUGUUUAAAUCAAGUCUUGACAGGUCAUAGGACCAAUACUACCAUAGAUAGACAAGGCUGGUCGACUGUGAUUCAGGAGUUUACUCGGAUAACGGGAAAAAAUUAUUCCCAAAAACAAAUGAAAAAUCACUGGGAUGUGGUUAAAAGUAAAUGGAAGAUAUUCCAUAAACUGUCUACAUAUGCCGGUUCAGGUUGGGACCCUAACCCUAUAAAUGAAACAUUCACUGCUGAAGAUGAUUUUUGGAAAGAUUAUCUGAAGAUAUAUCCUGAUGCAGCGCAGUUUAGGCACAAGGGUCUACCCCAUGCGGCAAACUUGGACAUCAUAUUUGGUGAUGGAUAAUGAAUUACUAAAUGAAGCACAAUCGGAGAGUGAGUUGGUAUCAGAUAUGGAGACAGGAUCGGAAAUACUGAUGAGGAAAUGAAUUGUAUUCUAUAUGUUGCAUAUGCUGUAGGUGAGUAUUAUUAUAAUACUUUUCACAAGGAACCUAAACGCAACAUGUCCAAUCGAGAUGCAUUUUGCAAAAAUGAUAAUAAACAUAUCUAGUAUGUUGGACAAUA
Molecule: long non-coding RNA, 3546 nt
Organism: Nelumbo nucifera (sacred lotus)
Lineage: Eukaryota; Viridiplantae; Streptophyta; Magnoliopsida; Proteales; Nelumbonaceae
Source: RefSeq, a predicted model, not a curated record